AGCAGCCGCGGUAAUUCCAGCUCCAAUAGCGUAUAUUAAAGUUGUUGCAGUUAAAAAGCUCGUAGUUGAAUUUCGGGAUCGGCAUGUUGGUCGUGCCUUACGGGGUAUGAACUGGCAUCGCCGGUUUCUCACCUUCCGGAGAAUCGUGAUGCUCUUAAUUGGGUGUUACGUGGAUCCAGGACCUUUACCUUGAAAAAAUUAGAGUGUUUAAAGCAGGCAUAUUGCUCGAAUACAUUAGCAUGGAAUAAUAAAAUAGGACGGUUUGGUUCUAUUUUGUUGGUUUCUAGGAUCACCGUAAUGAUUAAUAGGGAUAGUUGGGGGCAUUAGUAUUCAAUUGUCAGAGGUGAAAUUCUUGGAUUUAUUGAAGACUAACUACUGCGAAAGCAUUUGCCAAGGAUGUUUUCAUUAAUCAAGAACGAAAGUUAGGGGAUCGAAGACGAUCAGAUACCGUGUAGUCUUAACCAUAAACUAUACUGACUAGGAAUCAGACGAUGUUAAUUUUUUAAUGUACUCGUUUGGC
Molecule: ribosomal RNA, 520 nt
Filed under: uncultured Entrophospora
Lineage: Eukaryota; Fungi; Glomeromycota; Glomeromycetes; Entrophosporales; Entrophosporaceae
Description: SSU rRNA
Rfam family: Eukaryotic small subunit ribosomal RNA
Source: RNAcentral